Molecule: unclassified non-coding RNA, 400 nt
Filed under: soil metagenome
Description: partial contains 5.8S ribosomal RNA, internal transcribed spacer 2, and large subunit ribosomal RNA
Rfam family: 5.8S ribosomal RNA (bases 1-122)
Source: RNAcentral
GAUGAAGAACGUAGCGAAAUGCGAUACUUGGUGUGAAUUGCAGAAUCCCGUGAACCAUCGAGUCUUUGAACGCAAGUUGCGCCUCAAGCCAUUAGGUUGAGGGCACGUCUGCCUGGGCGUCACAUAUCGUUGCCUGAUGCCAGUUUCCUCGUGAUGGGUGACUGUGCAGGGCGAAUGAUGGCUUCCCGUGAGCAUUGUUGCCUCAUGGUUGGUUGAAAAUUGAGUCCUUGGAAGGGAGCGCCGUGAUAGAUGGUGGUUGAGUGACGAACGAGACCCAAUCAUGUGAGACCCCUACCGAAUUUGGCCUUCAUGACCCACAUGCGUCUUUGGAACGCUCAUGACGAGACCUCAGGUCAGGCGGGGCUACCCGCUGAGUUUAAGCAUAUCAAUAAGCGGAGGA